UUCCGGUUGAUCCUGCCGGACCCUACUGCUAUCGGGGUGGGACUUAAACAUGCGAGUCGUCACAGCCACGCGCGGCAUACGGCUCAGUAACACGUGGCCAACCCACCCUCGGGACGGAGACAACCCCGGGAAACUGGGACUAAUACCCGAUAGGCGAAGAUUCCUGGAACGGGUCGUGUUAGGAAUGCUUCAUCGCCCGAGGACGGGGCCGCGACCGAUCAGGUAGUUGGCGAGGCAACGGCUCACCAAGCCUAUAACCGGUACGGGCCGUGGGAGCGGGAGCCCGGAGAUGGGCACUGAGACAAGGGCCCAGGCCCUACGGGGCGCAGCAGUUGCGAAAACUUGUCAAUGCACGAAAGUGUGAACGGGCUACCCCGAGUGCCGUCCGCUGAGGAUGGCUUUUCUCUGCUGUAAGAAGGCGGAGGAAUAAGGAGAGGGCAAGUCUGGUGUCAGCCGCCGCGGUAAUACCAGCUCGCCGAGUGGUAGGGAUGAUUAUUGGGCUUAAAGCGUCCGUAGCCGGCCUCUCAAGUCUUUCGUUAAAUCCAGCGACUAAUCGUUGGACUGCGGGAGAUACUGUUAGGCUAGGGGGCGGGAGAAGCCGACGGUAUUCUUGGGGUAGGGGUAAAAUCCUAUAAUCCCAGGAAGACCACCAGUGGCGUAGGCGGUCGGCUAGCACGCGCUCGACGGUGAGGGACGAAAGCUGGGGGAGCGAACCGGAUUAGAUACCCGGGUAGUCCCAGCUGUAAACGAUGCAGACACGGUGAUGCACUGGCUUGUGGCCAGUGCAGUGCCGCAGGGAAGCCGUUAAGUUUGCCGCCUGGGAAGUACGUACGCAAGUAUGAAACUUAAAGGAAUUGGCGGGGGAGCACCACAAGGGGUGAAGCCUGCGGUUCAAUUGGAUUCAACGCCGGA
This 912-nucleotide ribosomal RNA is filed under the name uncultured archaeon. Its description in RNAcentral is "bacterial SSU rRNA". It matches the Rfam family "Archaeal small subunit ribosomal RNA", at positions 1 to 922 of the family's 1478-position model. The record is from RNAcentral.